Molecule: ribosomal RNA, 499 nt
Filed under: uncultured bacterium
Lineage: Bacteria
Description: bacterial SSU rRNA
Rfam family: Bacterial small subunit ribosomal RNA
Source: RNAcentral
GUAUCCUGGCUCAGAUUGAACGCUGGCGGCAGGCCUUACACAUGCAAGGUCGAGCGGUAGAGAGGUGCUUGCAUCUCUUGAGAGCGGCGGACGGGUGAGUAAUGCCUAGGAAUCUGCCUAGUGGUGGGGGAUAACGUUCGGAAACGGACGCUAAUACCGCAUACGUCCUACGGGAGAAAGCGGGGGAUCUUCGGACCUCGCGCCAUUAGAUGAGCCUAGGUCGGAUUAGCUAGUUGGUGAGGUAAUGGCUCACCAAGGCGACGAUCCGUAACUGGUCUGAGAGGAUGAUCAGUCACACUAGAACUGAGACACGGUCCAGACUCCUACGGGAGGCAGCAGUGGGGAAUAUUGGACAAUGGGCGAAAGCCUGAUCCAGCCAUGCCGCGUGUGUGAAGAAGGUCUUCGGAUUGUAAAGCACUUUAAGUUGGGAGGAAGGGUAGUAACCUAAUACGUUGCUACUUUGACGUUACCGACAGAAUAAGCACCGGCUAACUUCGUG